UAACCCAAAACUCCGGUUAUCCAGAAUCAUAAAUAAACUCUUCUGGAAAAGCGAUUUCUGUCGGAGGGUGGAGAUUUUAACGCUUUCCAUUUAAAUUUAAAUUUGAAUACUUUCUGGGUGACAAUCUUUUUGAAAUACACUAUGUCAGGUAGAGUUUCCAGGACAGAAUUCAUCAGUUUCCAUCCGUCCCACGUUGUCAUUGUCUACGUCAAUUUUACCGUCCCGUGUUUUGGAUGGAGACGACAUGGGAUAUGGGGCUUGCGGUAAGACCGACUUGUCUCCCUGCUUUCCCGUGCAGUGAAUGCCUCCCACUCUGCCCCGAGGGUGGAGUGGGGGCUCCUGGCUCUGCCUUCAGACUCCCUUCUCACUCUCCUGAAAGAUGCAGACGUGCCCCUGGCCUGCCUCCAAUGCCUGUGACCCAUACAGGACAGGGGUGUGCCGUGUGCGUCUGGAGAGGUAGCGAUCCGAUUUGGAUCUUCGGGGGGGGGCCUUCUUCCAGGCUUGGGGACAUUGCAGAACUUUGGGGGAUGUGAGGGUGGAGGUCUCUGGGCCACCGAGCUUUCCCUUUCUUCUCUUGCACCGUUGUUAACCUUGUACUUCCCAGGGGGAAGACUGUUUGCCCUUAACGAGGGCAAGCUGAAAGUGGAAGAAUAAAGCCAGGACAUAAAGUGUUCCGGAUGUCCAACCUCUCACUUGUCUGUGUGGUGACGAGGGCAAACGCUGACAUGGGUCUCCUUCCGGGCCGCGUGACCCGCGCCACCAGUCCUCAUGUUGUCCCUGUCCGGCCACCGGGCCGUUGGGUACGCGUAGCCCUGCUGAGGUCUUUAGUGGAGAAGGAGUGAGAAACCGUAGUUUCUAUCCUGCUCUCGAAGUUAGACGUGGUAGGAGCGCUGCCUUUCCAAGCCUCGGGCCUCCCUUUCAAGAGUGAUGAGCCCGCGCGUGUUUUCUCGACCACCCUACGGCAGACCCCCGGCUUUCACGAGGGAAUCCGUGGGCGGUGAGGGAUGAAGCAAACCCUCGUGUCUGCAGAGUGGCUGCUCUGUGGCCUCUGAAUCUGCUUUAAAAUUGGGAAAGAGUAAAACAAAACAAAACAAAACAUAAUGCCUGGCGGUGAAUACCCAGCUGGACUACAAAUGAGCAAAGAGGGAGGGAAGGAGAAGGGGGUCCGGCCAAGUUUGGCCUCAGCUGCAGACCCCUCCUGGGGUCAGACUCGUCCUGGCAUCGACAGCAGGCUCUUUCUCCCAGCCUGCUUCUCCAGGAAGCUGCUUUCCCAGGCUCCCUCCACAGGGAGGAGCAUCUUGGGAGCCGCCCGGCAGUGGCGGGGUCCAGGGGAACCCUUCCUGGCCGCCUGGACCUCUGGGCGGGCGGCUCCCCGUCAAGGCCCCUGCUGGCCAUCACACCAGUCGCAAGGAGAUGAGCCGCUUUUUGUCAAGCUGCGGGGAUGUGGAUUUUGUUUAAAGGCGCUUUGUGUGAAAUCGAUUUUUGGUUUUCUCACGAAUGUUUGCUCAUGUCACAGGGCGUGCCCGGUGGCACAGAGGAGGCUUCUGAGGAACGAAUCACGGUUACAGCCAUUAAAGCGAGCUAACCUUGGGUCAAGACGUGUAAAUAAAUAUCCAGGCCCGUGGACUGGACCCAACCCUGAAAUGACGGAAUUGCAUAUAAAGGCUUCAUUCAAGCCUUUCAAACUGAGAUUGCAAAACCCUGCUUGCAGAGGAGCUAAGGGGAUCUGGUAAACAAAUCGGGGGGGGAGCGUCGUGGGCCCCGCUUUCGCUCGUUCCCUGAUCCCUGGCCUCAACGCGUUCCCGACUGACACCAAUAUCCAGGGUUUACAAUGAGGUGUUUGGGGGAAGGACAAAGAGGGUUGAUCGUGAUGAUAUUGGGGUCACGAACCUCUUUCUCAAGGGGAGGCUAAAAAGGGCUGUGCUGGUACUCGUCGUAGGCAGCCGUCUGUGUACGAAUUAGAGGGAAAUUGCGCCCCCUCGGUCCAUCCGGAGGUUGGGGGCGUGUCCAACUGUCCAGCUGUCCACUGACCCCAGUUGUGGGAGAUGCCAGGUUCCUGUCCACCACAGGUCGGCCGUGGUCCUUGCUUUACAAAGACCCCUCCCAGGUGUCAUCUGCUUGAGGUGCUUUGCUGGGGUGUUUCCUUCCACAAACCACCCCUCUCUGUUCAUUCUUAACUGUUUUGUUCACUCGACAACAGGAUUCUCACAGAGUUUGGUAAAUCUUAGAAAUUAAGAGUGCAAGUUCAAGGUUGGGCAGCUUUAGAAAGAGAGUAAAAAUGAAGAUUUUAAAGGUACUUUUGGUAAAGUAGCUAUGCUUAGAUUUGGGUCACAUUCUUUCUCUUUUCAUACCUUCAAGUUAAUCAUAAGAAUAAUUAUAAUGAUUUGUUUGUUUACUAAAAUGUUCUGAGAAUUUAGGAUUAAAUAUCCCAGAAAUAACUUUUUAAAGGUUAAUGGGGCAGGAGAGAAAUGGCUCUGAAACAAUGUUCUUUGAGUCUGAUGACAUAAAGUGUGCAUGUGAUUCAUCCAGGAAUGUCCCAGGAGUCGUACCGGGUUCUGAUCCAUUCCUGUGGACUCUGUGAAGCAGGAGCCUGACCCCACCUACAAAACCCUGUCCUGGUGCUGCGCUGAGAACCGGGAGGGCACGAAGGCACUUUGUGUAGGAAAUCUUAAAGCGUUCAGGGGCCCGAUCAGCUCUUUGGUGGAGGAGGUUGGGGGGCAGACGUGGAGUCAGCCCAAAGCACUGGCAAUAUUAAUAGCUAAGGAUUACAUCCUUAAAAUGAAAUGAGUAAAAGAGCUAAGAAUUUUCUGAUACAUUUUUUUUU
Molecule: long non-coding RNA, 2824 nt
Organism: Leopardus geoffroyi (Geoffroy's cat)
Lineage: Eukaryota; Metazoa; Chordata; Mammalia; Carnivora; Felidae
Exons: 2
Source: RefSeq, a predicted model, not a curated record